Neopelma chrysocephalum (saffron-crested tyrant-manakin) is the source of this 1971-nucleotide long non-coding RNA. RefSeq lists it as uncharacterized. The transcript is spliced from 3 exons. NCBI's taxonomy places the organism in Eukaryota, Metazoa, Chordata, Aves, Passeriformes, Pipridae. The record is from RefSeq and is a predicted model, not a curated record.
CCUGUUUAAUAUCUUCUAUUCCCUGCACAUUAAAAAACUGCCAUUUAGUAUCACCUACAUGGCAGAAAUAACCAUCCCAAGACAGCUAUCACAGGUGGAAGCAACUUCUGCAGUUUUAGUUCAAGGUCAUCCAACAUAGCUGGCUUCAAGUUUUGCUUCCCAUCUGGAAAGCCAGCAGUAUCAGGUGCUGGCAGAUUUCCCAAAGAAAGUGUUUCAUGAUGGCAGUGGAUGCUGUUUUAUAGGCAUUUUUCACAGGCAUAGGCAGUAACUGUGGGUGAUGUCACCUGUACUAUUAAUAUUUACUGGGUCCAAACAUGCCAGUGCAUUUUAAAAUGCAUGAAUUUCACACUACAAAUGAUUUUGAAGUUCAGUUUUGAUCUGAUUUGUAUCACAGAGAGGUCUGAGGUUUUGCUGCCUGUCUCUGUCAGCUGAACUAAGCUAACACAUGCAUUAUCCAUUUUUACAAUCAUGUCUUUCAGCACAGCAGAUUUCCGUGCCCCCAGUGAUGUGAAUCCUACACUGCUUCUGAAGACACACACAUCCAUAGCAGUAACACAUUAAAUGUGCAACAAAGAGGAUGCUGCCUGAGCAGCUCCCUCAGCUUUUGGUUCUGUUAUCUCACCAGGAAAGAGAGAAAAAAAAAGGAAGUGGGACAGAAGAAUUAGGAAGGGAGAGUGUGCAUGUUCUGAAAUGGUGGAAAAAUCCUUCCUGAGGAGAUUAACCUUUCUGUUGAUGGGCCAGAGCAAAGACCGUGUCAUCUAUAACUUGCCCUUCCAGGCAUGCACCUAUUUCUGCCUUUGAAGGAGAAGAAUAAGUUUGAAAAUGUCUUCGAAGUUCAGGUUUGGCUUUUCAGAAAUCUAUUGGUUUUCUCUAAAACUGGCUAACAGCCUGAUUAAUUUUGUGGAGCUGGGCUGUGAUAUGAAAGCCUUUAGUCACUGCUGGGGGAAAAAAAGCAUGCAGAAAGAAGGAAAAAUAGUAAGAUAGAACUGACAUUCAUAAUUUUGUUGAAUUCAACAGAAUUUGAAUGAGUCUUUGAACCACCACAUGAUAACAAAAAAAACCCGCCAGAGAUCAUUUGCCAUAUCAUUUCCUCCCAAGGUCUAUUAAAUCAUCUGAUGUGACUGGAGAUGGUUCUGUCAGCUGUGGUCUGAGUGUAAGAGCACAAUUAUAAUAUUGGGAUUUAUUUUGUCCAUGUCACAAAUUUAUUUUUUUUAAAUUAUCACAUAUUUACAGCCUAGACAUCUUAAAACCUGAGUUUCCACUUCAAAAGUGUCUCACUCACAAUCUACCAUAUGACCCCAUUUUAAAAUUAUGUGAGCAAAGAAUAUAAAAAGCACUGCAUGCAAUUGCCCACUGCACUUCCAGAAUCACUGCCCUGUCUGUUCCAUAUCUAAGAGCCUCUGGUUAUAAAAAGAUUCUUUUAGUUGCUUAUCCUGUAUGUUCUUGUUCUUAUCUCCAAGCUUUGACCUUUUAUUUUUUAUUAUUUACUUUUGCAAAAAGCCUGUUGGCAGCAGUCUGUUCUUUUCCAUGUCAGGCUUUUCUCUGCUGUGUCUCACUGAGAUGUCUUUUGAAAUACAAACACCAGAUUCACAAUGUUGAAUUUCAACUCCUUCCUCUGACUCUGAAAGUCCUUUUGGUUUCUAUGGUAUUAUACUCAAAGUAUGGCACACAAUGACUCCUGUCACAUCUGCUGUAAGUGCCUGUAAUUGCCCACUGCCCAAAUAAGAUUCUUAGCUGCUUUCCAUCUUUUAUGCUGCACUUCUGUAGAACAAGUCAUAUUGCACUGAAUAAAGCUGGUUUAAAAACUCAACCUGAAAGAGAUCCUGCUUUGAGUUUUCUCAUUCAACUACAUAUUCCCAAGCAGAAACAGACAUUCAGUGGGAAAAGUGAUUGCUAAUUAAGGAUGGUCUUCAGUACUUUGCUAACUAGAAGUUUUACAGUUAAAUGAUGGUUCCAACUUCCUAAUUUUCU